RNAcentral lists this ribosomal RNA (1218 nucleotides) under Sarcocheilichthys variegatus variegatus. RNAcentral describes it as "partial 16S ribosomal RNA". It matches the Rfam family "Bacterial large subunit ribosomal RNA", at positions 700 to 2561 of the family's 2925-position model. The record is from RNAcentral. Lineage: Eukaryota; Metazoa; Chordata; Actinopteri; Cypriniformes; Gobionidae.
CUUUAGUUUGAAACCCCGAAACCAGGUGAGCUACCCCGAGACAGCCUAUUUACUUAGGGCUAACCCGUCUCUGUGGCAAAAGAGUGGGAAGAGCUCCGGGUAGAAGUGACAGACCUACCGAACCUGGUGAUAGCUGGUUGUCUGAGAAAUGGAUAGAAGUUCAGCCCUAUUACGCCCCCGACCAAAACACACCGCCCAAGGUGCAAGGGAAAUAUUUAGGAGUUAGUUAGAGGGGGUACAGCCCCUCUAACAAAGGAUACAACCUUAUAAAGGAGAAUAAAGAUCAUAAUCUACAAGACAUACUGUUCUAGUGGGCCUAAAAGCAGCCACCUAAACAGAAAGCGUUAAAGCUCAGACAGAAAGAAGUUUAUUAUAAUGAUAACAAAUCUUAUUUCCCUAAUAAUAUCAGACCACCCCAUGCCCGCAUGGAAGAAAUUAUGCUAAAAUGAGUAACAAGAAGACUUGCUCUUCUCCAAGCACAAGUGUAAGCCAGAUCGGACAAGCCGCUGGAAAUUAACGAACUCAACCAAAAGAGAGCACUGCGGAUAAUAAAAAAACCAAGAAAACCCCGCAACCAAGCAUCGUUAACCCCACACUGGAAUGCUAUAAUUAAAGGAAAGACUAAAAGAAAGGGAAGGAACUCGGCAAACACAAGCCUCGCCUGUUUACCAAAAACAUCGCCUCCUGCAACUAAACCAAGUAUAGGAGGUCCAGCCUGCCCAGUGACUAAGGGUUCAACGGCCGCGGUAUUUUGACCGUGCAAAGGUAGCGCAAUCACUUGUCUUUUAAAUAGAGACCUGUAUGAAUGGCUAAACGAGGGCUUAACUGUCUCCCCCUUCGGGUCAGUGAAAUUGAUCUAUCCGUGCAGAAGCGGAUAUAAUUAUACAAGACGAGAAGACCCUUUGGAGCUUAAGGUACAAAACUUAACCACGUCAAACAACUUAAUCAAAAAGCAAGAACUUAGUGGGCCAUAAGACUUUACCUUCGGUUGGGGCGACCGCGGAGGAAAACCCAGCCUCCGAGUGGAAUGGGCCAAACCCCUAAAACUAAGAGAAACAUCUCUAAGCCGCAGAACAUCUGACCAAAAAUGAUCCGGCUAAAGUCGAUCAACGAACCAAGUUACCCUAGGGAUAACAGCGCAAUCCUCUCCCAGAGUCCAUAUCGACGAGGGGGUUUACGACCUCGAUGUUGGAUCAGGACAUCCUAAUGGUGCAGCCG